This 318-nucleotide long non-coding RNA is filed under the name Physcomitrium patens. RNAcentral's name for it is "long non-coding RNA (PPAT_LNC001509)". Lineage: Eukaryota; Viridiplantae; Streptophyta; Bryopsida; Funariales; Funariaceae. The record is from RNAcentral.
ACUUGGUGAGUUCCCACAUUUUUUUAUACUUUAUUGGGAAUUAUAACUUAUUAGGAGACAACUUAGCAAAGAAAAUAUUGUGUAUUACAAAGUAACAAAAUGAUCUUAAAAUAUAUCUCAAACUUUUAUUUUUUAUUUUAAAAAUAUAAUAUACAAAAAAUCAUGUGUAGUUUUGAAAUAACUUUAAAAAUAGUUAUCUUGGACUAUAAACAUCACCAAUAUAAAUACACAUUUAUACACAUUUGUAAUUUCCCUCUAUAAUCAAAAUCUUGUAUUAGAUUUUGCAAUGUAAAGAAACUCAUGCACCAAUUAAAAUCA